AGCUUUUCAUCCCCCCCCAGAUUCCAUUCUCUCUGAAUUGUCAUCCAAAUGAGGGGAAGGACAAGAGCCAUGCUGGCAGAGCAUCUUCCUGCCUGUGUGGUACCUAACAACUCCGGGAGAAUUGCUGGCGUCUGAUGGUAGCAAUUGUAAGUUAGAAUCUGGCUCAGUCCUACUGUUGUCAGAGCACAAAACUGGGUGGCGUCUGAUCUGAAAACAUUUUUCCAGGCAGCAACAGCUGGCAGUUGGAUCUUCUGCUAACUGAAGUAUGGAAAGCAUUUCUACUAAGUCAUCUAUUAUCUAGACAAGACUAGAGAAGGCAGGCAUUCAUAGGUGAACAAUAGCAAUGGUGUAAGUUAAACAGAAUGCUUGAUGAAACUUGAAGAGUAACUGUAUGCUUCCUAAGUUCUAUUCUGUGUCCUUGAUCACAAAACUAAUUCUUUUCAAAAAAUACGUUUCAUGGGUGAUUCUAGAGAAAAGGAUAGUAGUCAACACAGGAAUAGCAGUACUUAGAAAACUGGGCAAGCCCUAGGUAUAACUUGGGGAAAGCCAGGAUAUCUCUAUACCGUUUAGAAUUAAUGUAUUAGAAUAGCAUGAAUAGAAUAGAACAACAUGAUCAUUCAACAUGGCAAGAAAAAAGCUCAUUUUUAUGGCCAAAACAGCACUCCACAUAAAAUUCUGACGUAUCAAUUUAUCAUUGUUAUUUGCUUCUGCUCUGGAUUUUGGUACUGAUGCUGUUUAUGCAUUUUCAAAAACAUCUUGAAUUAAUAUUCAGUGUUUACUAAGCCCGUUGGAUUUCCUGAUGGAAUUUGCAUUAGCUCAUAGCAGCAGAGGCCUCAGGAGAGCCAGUACCAAAGAAUUAAAUAGUAAAACAAAUGCUUUGAUGUGCUAAAAAAUAGGGUCUCCUUCAACUUUACUAUAUAAUCAUCCGUGAAAAGAAGCAAAAACAAAUAAGUCACAUCUAUUCUUUAUUCCAUUACUAAAUAAAACAAUGCUAUUCUUGUUAAGGGAAUAUUUUAAUGGCAAUGUAUUUGAAUACUAGAGAUUACUGAGUAUUCAACAAUUUUCCAUGAUGAAAUCUUCAGCCUCACCAUGCCUAUUACUAAAGGCUUCUGAAUCAUUUCAGCUAAGCCAAUUAUCCACAAAAGGAUGGGUUUGUAGCAUUAAAGUCAUUUUGGGAGAUUUGACAUUCAAGACUACCUUGGAAAGAAACCAUUUUUGGUAACGUUUUUUAUUACCUUCAAGAAGUCAUUUAAUUUGCCCGUGCCUGUUUUUUGUCUAGUAAAAGUCUUGUUUGUACAUAGUCUAGAUUGCUGCGGGGAAGAUUGGGUGCCAUUAUAUAAACUCAUAUCUCUACAGUAGAUGUUAGGUCUUGCCAAUUCUCUUUAUUACAGUCAUUUUCUUUCACAGAUAAAUUGUGAACCUUGACCUACCCAAUAUCGCCCUAAAAUUCCAUCAAAGUUAACGACUAUUUAUAUAUAAUGCUUUAUGUUGGUCUUAGCACAGCUGGCUGAUGUGGUUGCUGAGCAGCUCCAUCAUAUUCAAAAAGUUGUGGCUGUGAGCUGAAGUUCCUGCUGACUGGAAAAAGGGAAACAUCAUUCCCAUUUAUAAGACAAGGAGGAAGGAGGACCCAGGGAACUACAGGCUGGUGAGCGACUAGGAAGAUCAUGGAACAGAUCCUCCUGGAAGACAUGUUAAGGCACAUGAGGGAUGAGCAGGUGAUUCAAGAUAACCAGAACAGAUUCACCAAGGGCAGAUUGUGCAUCACCAAUCAGUGGACAAAGAGAAGGCAACGAUGUCAUUUACCUGGACUUCUGCAAGGCCUCUGGUGUGGUCCCCCACCACACCCUUGUCUCUAAAUUGGAAUGAUAUGGAUUUGAAGGGUGUGACCUAUAUGAUAAGGUUCCAGACCAAAUGGUUUGUAUAUUGUGGAGGAAUGUGAGUUUUCAGAAUCAGCUCUGAAUGUACGCAUUUCAGUACAAUCACAUAUCUUCAAAACACUUCAUGUCCUGAACAUAAUGGAAGAUACAAUUCAGUAUGGAUAACUUGCGGCUGCCUUGUUGACUGAGUCACAUUUUCUAGCCUCAGAAAGCUAGUGAUACUUCCCAUAGCAAUUUCUGAGUCUUUGAAUUAUACACUAGGAAAGCUCUUGGUCCAAUGUCCUCACCAAGAAAAUGUUAAGAAAUGGCUAUAAUAUUUUGUUAUAAUAUUUAUAUUUUGUAUCCCUUAAAAGGAUGUUUGGGUAAGUGUUCCACAUUCUCUGAACACCUUUCAUUGCUAAGUGAAAUUCUGAAAACUUAUAGUACGCAUUUCACACUCAUGAGUUAACAGUUUAACAGUGAUAUGCAAGUUAGUGAAUAAUGAAAGACACUGUCAAGUAUAUUUGAAAAUACUGAGAAAUUCAUGAAAUAAAUUAUUCUAUCAAUGUUACAGUACCUAUUUGUGUAGAUAUUUCUACCACCAGAGGUAUCCCUACCCCUCUAGGGUAACCAUAUUUUUAUUGUUAAAUCAUUAAUGAUGCUUUCAUGCAUGAGGCCUUAUGGAAUACUAC
Molecule: long non-coding RNA, 2548 nt
Organism: Lagopus muta (rock ptarmigan)
Lineage: Eukaryota; Metazoa; Chordata; Aves; Galliformes; Phasianidae
Exons: 3
Source: RefSeq, a predicted model, not a curated record